UACGUAGGGUGCAAGCGUUAAUCGGAAUUACUGGGCGUAAAGCGUGCGCAGGCGGUUGUGCAAGACCGAUGUGAAAUCCCCGGGCUCAACCUGGGAAUGGCAUUGGUGACUGCACGGCUAGAGUGUGUCAGAGGGGGGGUAGAAUUCCACGUGUAGCAGUGAAAUGCGUAGAGAUGUGGAGGAAUACCGAUGGCGAAGGCAGCCCCCUGGGAUAACACUGACGCUCAUGCACGAAAGCGUGGGGGAGCAAACAGG
This 255-nucleotide ribosomal RNA is filed under the name uncultured bacterium. Its description in RNAcentral is "partial 16S ribosomal RNA". It matches the Rfam family "Bacterial small subunit ribosomal RNA", at positions 524 to 776 of the family's 1533-position model. The record is from RNAcentral.